This is a long non-coding RNA of Branchiostoma belcheri (Belcher's lancelet), 522 nucleotides long. RefSeq lists it as uncharacterized. The transcript has 4 exons. Lineage: Eukaryota; Metazoa; Chordata; Leptocardii; Amphioxiformes; Branchiostomatidae. The record is from RefSeq and is a predicted model, not a curated record.
CAUCUUUUGAAAUGAACAUGUUUUUAACACUGACCGCUGAAGAGGUAGGACGUGUGCAAAGAAUAAUUUAAAGCUGAAGUCAUCUGUGCCACGUCACACAACCUUCGAGGAGCCAAGAAAAGCUACUUAUCAGCGAAGUCACAGGAAAAAAUCAUGCCAGACCCCUGCAAGUGUGGCGAUGAGUGCAAGUGUGGCCCUGACUGCAAGUGCGGCCCCGAAUGCAAGAACAAGGACUCUUCCAAGGCCUGUGAGUCCGGUGAUUGUGAGCCUUGUGAGAAGGAGUGCAAGACUGACCACGAGCACCACAAGCAUCCUCACUGAGCAGUGAAGUCUGAGUGCUGAGGACCUACACGGUAACUCUGGUGCAGACGGACCAGAUAAUGACAAACAGCUUUCACAUCUCACCAAGCUAUAAAGGAGGAGUCCAAGAAACACACUUUUUUCAAUAUUCCUUCUAUUAUUCACACUUGAUCUAGACAACUAGACGAAAACAUACAACACAUUUUUCUUGUUUUUUUAAGU